RNAcentral lists this ribosomal RNA (252 nucleotides) under uncultured bacterium. RNAcentral's name for it is "partial 16S ribosomal RNA". It matches the Rfam family "Bacterial small subunit ribosomal RNA", at positions 524 to 776 of the family's 1533-position model. The record is from RNAcentral.
UACAGAGGGUGCGAGCGUUGUCCGGAGUUACUGGGCGUAAAGGGUGCGCAGGUGGCGGCGCGCGUGGGGGGGUGAAAUCGCCCGGCUUAACUGGGCGGGGGCCUUCCAGACGGCGUGGCUUGAGCAGCGGAGGGGGACGUGGAAUCCGGGUGGAGCGGUGAAAUGCGUAGAGAUCCGGAGGAACACCGACGGCGCAGGCAGCGCCUGGCCGCUUGCUGACACUGAGGCACGAAAGCUGGGGGAGCAAACAGG